GUCCUAGAGAGCAGGCUGCAGCGGGAGGAAGCUCCUGUACCCUUCUGAGUCCAGAGCAGCACAGCUCCACAUCACUUCUCCAGCUGUACAUCCUCUUUGGGGACCAAGGAGGCAGGAAGAAAAAGGAAAAGAACCCAUCAGUUUGUUUUCGCCUCGGCAAUCUGCGCAAGUGUUGAACCUUCCACCUGGAUGAGGGAAAGCGGAGAUGGGGGAUGAGGGAGUCCUAGGGAUGGAAUGCAAGAGACUCCUCGGCCUGGCCACCUGCUUUUCCUAAAAGGAACAACAACAACAACAACAAAUGGUAGAAAUUUCCAGAAGUCCUUACUCAGGCCACUGCAAAUGCCAAUCUUUAACCUUUCCCCUAAACCUGCUGGCUUAAGAGAACAGGAAGAAAGGGGAACCCCGUUGGGCUAAUCUGUGGGCCUGCACUGAGGAUCCUACC
RNAcentral lists this long non-coding RNA (442 nucleotides) under Mus pahari (shrew mouse). RNAcentral describes it as "lncRNA (MGP_PahariEiJ_G0003407.1)". The record is from RNAcentral. Lineage: Eukaryota; Metazoa; Chordata; Mammalia; Rodentia; Muridae.